RNAcentral lists this unclassified non-coding RNA (235 nucleotides) under Glomus sp. Its description in RNAcentral is "partial contains 5.8S ribosomal RNA and internal transcribed spacer 2". The stretch from base 1 to 71 matches the Rfam family "5.8S ribosomal RNA", at positions 84 to 154 of the family's 154-position model. Lineage: Eukaryota; Fungi; Glomeromycota; Glomeromycetes; Glomerales; Glomeraceae. The record is from RNAcentral.
GUGAAUCAUCAAAUUUUUGAACGCAAAUUGCACUUUCUGGUAUUCCGGAAAGUAUGCCUGUUUGAGGGUCAGUUAAAUAAACAUCAAGGUUGUUGCUGCCGUUCGUUGUGACUCGUCGGAUUUGGGUCGUCUUACCUUGGAAUAAGUGACUUAAAAUUUUUUCAUGAUUUUCGGACGUAUUUAAAUCGCUUACGUACUUUUGAGAUAUCGAAUGCUUAUUAGUGUCAGUCGUUCC